RNAcentral lists this ribosomal RNA (403 nucleotides) under uncultured bacterium. RNAcentral's name for it is "partial 16S ribosomal RNA". It matches the Rfam family "Bacterial small subunit ribosomal RNA", at positions 28 to 526 of the family's 1533-position model. The record is from RNAcentral.
GACGAACGCUGGCGGCGUGCCUAAUACAUGCAAGUCGAACGCAGUGGGGACGGGUGAGUAACACGUUGGUAACCUCCCAUCAGAGGGGAUAACACUUGGAAACCGGUGCUAAACCGAUACUGAUGGAUGGACCCGCGGUGCAUUAGCUAGGUGGUGAGGUAACGGCUCACCAAGGCCACCUUGCAUAGCCGACCUCAGAGGGGGCUCGGCCACCCUGGGACUGUGACACGGCCCGGACUCCUACGGGAGGCAGCAGUGGGGAGUCUUCGGCAAUGGACGAAAGUCGGAGCGAGCAACGCCGCGGGAGUGAAGAAGGUUUUCGGAUCGUAACACUCUGUUGUUAGAGCAGCGGUAUCUAACCAGAAAGCCACGGCUAACUACGUGCCAGCAGCCGCGGUAAUUC